UCCGCUGUAGUUCAACGGACAGAAUGCGGCCCUCCGAAGGCCGAGACCCAGGUUCGAUUCCUGGCGGUGGGACCA
RNAcentral lists this transfer RNA (75 nucleotides) under Variovorax paradoxus. Its description in RNAcentral is "tRNA-Arg". It matches the Rfam family "tRNA". From Rfam's summary of the family: Transfer RNA (tRNA) molecules are approximately 80 nucleotides in length. The record is from RNAcentral. Lineage: Bacteria; Pseudomonadati; Pseudomonadota; Betaproteobacteria; Burkholderiales; Comamonadaceae.